GACGAACGCUGGCGGCGUGCUUAACACAUGCAAGUCGAACGGAAAGGCCUCUUUCGGGGGGUACUCGAGUGGCGAACGGGUGAGUAACACGUGAGUAACCUGCCCUUGACUUUGGGAUAACUUCAGGAAACUGGGGCUAAUACCGGAUAGGAGCUCCUGCUGCAUGGUGGGGGUUGGAAAGUUUCGGCGGUUGGGGAUGGACUCGCGGCUUAUCAGCUUGUUGGUGGGGUAGUGGCUUACCAAGGCUUUGACGGGUAGACGGCCUGGGGGGGUGACCGGCCACAUUGGGACUGAGAUACGGCCCAGGCUCCUACGGGAGGCAGCAGUGGGGAAUAUUGCACAAUGGGUGGAAGCCUGAUGCAGCAACGCCGUGUGCGGGAUGACGGCCUUCGGGUUGUAAACCGCUUUCGCUCAUGACGAAGCUUUGUGUGACGGUAGUGGGUAAAGAAGCACCGGCUAACUACGUG
Molecule: ribosomal RNA, 467 nt
Filed under: uncultured bacterium
Lineage: Bacteria
Description: partial 16S ribosomal RNA
Rfam family: Bacterial small subunit ribosomal RNA
Source: RNAcentral